CUGCAAUUACAGCACCUGGAGGAGCUGAUACUCUGUGCCAACCAGAUCAGCAGGAUAACCUCGGCCAACCUGCCCCGGACACUGAAGGUGGGUGAGCAGAGCCUUGUGAUCAGUGGGAUCAGAAAGAGAUCCCAUGGGAACGCUGCACAAGCUGAGCAGCUCGAGGGUGUGCCAGGAACUGCUCGUUGCAAAGGGUGUUUGUUGUUCCCUCUGUCCUGUGCAGGUGCUGGAGCUCUGCUGCAACACUGUGGCUGAUCUUCAGGAGCUGUGCUGCUCAGCCCCCUCCGCAGCUGCAGCACCUGGGGCUGGGGUACAACAGGCUGUGUGGCCCCUCGCAGGACAAGUACCUCACUGCGGACUUCUGGCCAAAUCUCGUCUCCCUUGACCUGAGCUUUAACAACUUAACAGAGCUGCUGGAGCUGGUCUCCCAGCUCUCCAGUCUGCAGAAGCUCCGGGUCCUGGUGCUCCAAGGGAACCCUCUGGCUCUCAUUCCUGCUUACAGAGGCUUUGUUGUGGACGGCCUGCCCCAGCUGUCCGUCCUGGACUGACAUCCACAUAGAGCCCAAUGACGAGAGGCACCAGUUCCAUGGUUUGGCGAGGCAGCCAGAGCUGAUAAGAAGUGAAGCACAAGUGGUUGUGAGCAUUGGGAAGAUCAAGGGAGUUCCUGAUCCCAGCACUCUCCAGGAACUGGAGGUUGACACCAAGGCAGCGGCGAUCACCUACAGCUACUGUGUGACCUACGAGUUCGCAGAGGGAGAGGAGGUGGAGGACGGUGGCAGCGCUGAGCACAUUUGUUUGUCACCCCUGGAAAGCCCUGGGCAGACACCAUUGACUGCAGCUACAGGAAGGAGCACACUGCCAAGGACUUGGUGGGGACUGAAGGGCUACCUGGCGGCUGGAACGAUCGUCUCAGUGGUAGAGGAGAAGGUGCUCUCGUGGCCUGUUGAUGCUGACUCAGAAGAAGGUGCAGUAACAAACAAGAAGGCAGGACAGGGGCUAAAGAAGGAUGGUGGCAAGGUAGGAUGCCAGGAGGGAACAAUGUCCAAAAACCUUCUGAGCUACAACAAUAGUGAUGGGGCAAGGAGGGACCUUCUCCUGUGCCAGUUUUGGGUGUCAGGGAGUAUUUCUCCAUCCCAGACCUCUAGACAAAUUCCUCCCUGCUGUGGGAGGAGGGCAGCAGCUGUUUUACACACCCCUCAGGCUGGAUACAGAAGGUGGGCGAGUGGCUGGGCCCAGGUUACCUGCUGCCUGAUAAAGGGGCCCCAACCCUCAGCUGACACUGAUCCCAUACCGGUGCUCUGCAGGGUCCCGUGCCCAAGGACAAGCAGAAGCAGAAGCAGCAGGAGAAGAAGAAGAAGAAGAAGAAGAAGCCGUGUGAACUCCGCAGCGACCCACCCAUUCGGAGGACCCUGGGCUCUAGGAGAGUGAGCCUGGAGGCCCUGCUGGCCACUGAGGACCUGGUGGCAACUGUGUGUGACUUUGGGAUCCUCAUCACCGAGCAGGCCGCUGCAGCCACUGAGUCUGGAGGAGAAAGUGGUAAGGAGCAUGUCCUGGGGCAGGGCGGUGGGGACGGGCUGCUGGGGAGGGGUUUCAGCACAUCCUGCCCUGCUCAUCCGUCCCUCAGUUCCCUCUCCAAAAAAUGGGGCUGAAAUAGCCCUGCUGGAGCACCACCCACCACUGCUGGCAUCGUUAUUUGAAAUUGGCAUUAUCAGUAAGUGCUGCUACUUUUUGUGGGCUUAUGGUAAGAAAAUAGGUGAGUUUAUCUUAAUUUCCAAGAAUGUGAAAGCAACCCCUCCUGCUUCCACUGAUCCUCUCUCUCUCAGCAUGGCAACAUGCACCAGCUGUCCUGACACUUUGUGUUUCCUGGAGUCUCUUCUCUUCUCUGGGCAGCCCCUCUGCUGUGCUCCCGCUUCCUGUCACCACGUUCUUUGGCCCGUUAAAUCCUGGUGCCAACCCAGGCGGUGAUGACUGUCACAGGACUGAAUGUGGGCACUGAAUUUCAACACCGCCUGAGUGU
RNAcentral lists this long non-coding RNA (2017 nucleotides) under Anas platyrhynchos (mallard). RNAcentral's name for it is "lncRNA (ENSAPLG00020007234.1)". The record is from RNAcentral. Lineage: Eukaryota; Metazoa; Chordata; Aves; Anseriformes; Anatidae.